RNAcentral lists this ribosomal RNA (851 nucleotides) under uncultured beta proteobacterium. Its description in RNAcentral is "bacterial SSU rRNA". It matches the Rfam family "Bacterial small subunit ribosomal RNA", at positions 67 to 918 of the family's 1533-position model. Lineage: Bacteria; Pseudomonadati; Pseudomonadota; Betaproteobacteria. The record is from RNAcentral.
CGGUAACGCGGGGCAACCUGGCGACGAGUGGCGAACGGGUGAGUAAUAUAUCGGAACGUGCCCAGUAGUGGGGGAUAGCCCGGCGAAAGCCGGAUUAAUACCGCAUGAGACCUGAGGGUGAAAGCGGGGGAUCGCAAGACCUCGCGCUAUUGGAGCGGCCGAUAUCAGAUUAGCUAGUUGAUGGGGUAAAGGCCUACCAAGGCAACGAUCUGUAGUUGGUCUGAGAGGACGACCAGCCACACUGGGACUGAGACACGGCCCAGACUCCUACGGGAGGCAGCAGUGGGGAAUUUUGGACAAUGGGCGCAAGCCUGAUCCAGCAAUGCCGCGUGCAGGAAGAAGGCCUUCGGGUUGUAAACUGCUUUUGUCAGGGAAGAAAUCCUCUGGGUUAAUACCUCGGGGGGAUGACGGACCUGAAGAAUAAGCACCGGCUAACUCGUGCCACAGCCGCGGUAAUACGUAUGGUGCGAGCGUUAAUCGGAAUUACUGGGCGUACAAGCGUGCGCAGGCGGCUUUGCAAGACAGAUGUGAAAUCCCCGGGCUCAACCUGGGAACUGCAUUUGUGACUGCUCGGCUAGAGUACGGUAGAGGGGGAUGGAAUUCCGCGUGUAGCAGUGAAAUGCGUACAUAUACGGACGAACACCUAUGGCGAAGGCAAUCCCCUGGACUUGUACUGACGCUCAUGCACAAUAGCGUGAGUAGCAAACAGGAUUAGAUACCCUGGUAGUCCACGCCCUUAACGAUGUCUACUGGUUGUUGGACGGCUUGCUGUUCACUAACGAAGCUAACGCGUGAAGUUGACCGCCUGCGGAGUACGGCCGCUAGGUUAGAACUCCAAUGAAUUGACUGGA